This 421-nucleotide ribosomal RNA is filed under the name Fusobacteriota bacterium. RNAcentral describes it as "Fusobacteria bacterium partial 16S ribosomal RNA". It matches the Rfam family "Bacterial small subunit ribosomal RNA", at positions 355 to 776 of the family's 1533-position model. Lineage: Bacteria; Fusobacteriati; Fusobacteriota. The record is from RNAcentral.
UGGGGAAUAUUGCACAAUGGACGGAAGUUUGAUGCAGCGACGCCGCGUGGAGGGUGUAGGCCUUCGGGUUGUGAACUCCUUUUUCUCGCGAAAAAGGCACAGUUUUGGCUGUGUUGAUGGUAGUGGGGGAAGAAGCGCCGGCUAACUACGUGCCAGCAGCCGCGGUAAUACGUAGGGCGCGAGCGUUGUCCGGAUUUAUUGGGCGUAAAGAGCUCGUAGGUGGUUCGUCGCGUCUGUCGUGAAAGCCAGCAGCUUAACUGUUGGUCUGCGGUGGGUACGGGCGGGCUGGAGUGCGGUAGGGGUGAAGGGAAUUCCUGGUGUAGCGGUGGAAUGCGCAGAUAUAAGGAGGAACACCGAUGGCGAAGGCAGGUCACUGGGCCGUUACUGACACUGAGGAGCGAAAGCGUGGGGAGCGAACAGG